GACGAACGCUGGCGGCGUGCUUAACACAUGCAAGUCGAACGGAAAGGCCCUGCUUGCAGGGUCCUCGAGUGGCGAACGGGUGAGUAACACGUGGGUGAUCUGCCCUUCACUUCGGGAUAAGCCUGGGAAACUGGGUCUAAUAUAGGACAGAAGACAUGUUGAGUGUGAUGGUUGGAAAGAUUUUUCGGUGUAGGAUGAGCGCGCGGCCUAUCAGCUUGUUGUUGGGGUAAUGGCCUACAAAGGCGGCGACGGGUAGCCGGCCUGAGAGGGUGGACGGCCACAUUGGGACUGAGAUACGGCCCAGACUCCUACGGGAGGCAGCGGUGGGGAAUAUUGCACAAUGGGCGGAAGCCGGAUGCAGCGACGCCGCGUGGGGGAUGACGGCCUUCGGGUUGUAAACUGCUUUCGCUAGGGACGAAGCUUUUUGGGACGGUACCUAGAUAAGAAGCACCGGCUAACUACGU
RNAcentral lists this ribosomal RNA (464 nucleotides) under uncultured bacterium. RNAcentral describes it as "partial 16S ribosomal RNA". It matches the Rfam family "Bacterial small subunit ribosomal RNA", at positions 28 to 506 of the family's 1533-position model. The record is from RNAcentral.